RNAcentral lists this ribosomal RNA (253 nucleotides) under uncultured bacterium. Its description in RNAcentral is "partial 16S ribosomal RNA". It matches the Rfam family "Bacterial small subunit ribosomal RNA", at positions 524 to 776 of the family's 1533-position model. The record is from RNAcentral.
UACAGAGGUCUCGAGCGUUAGGCGGAAUCACUGGGCUUAAAGCGCGUGUAGGCGGAUCGUUAAGUACCUUGUGAAAUCCCACGGCUUAACCGUGGAACUGCUGGGUAUACUGGCGGUCUUGAGCCACCUAGGGGCCUGCGGAACAAGCGGUGGAGCGGUGAAAUGCGCAGAUAUCAGGAAGAACACCCGUGGCGAAGGCGGCUCUCUGGGACGGUACUGACGCUGAGACGCGAAAGCGUGGGGAGCGAACAGG